Long non-coding RNA from Astatotilapia calliptera (eastern happy), 3112 nucleotides. The record is from Ensembl. Lineage: Eukaryota; Metazoa; Chordata; Actinopteri; Cichliformes; Cichlidae.
UUUAGAUUUACUGUGAGCAACAUGGCUGUAAGCACAGAAGAAAAGCAAAUGGUAAGGAUCCUUUACAUCCUACAUGUAAGGUAAACUACAUUUCAAGCACAAUUUGGGGCCUGCUUUUUUUCUGCAUGGGCAUUAGUAUAGACUGAUCCUUUUGCAGAUGUUGAGGAGCAUGAUGGAGGCUCAAGACCAGUUGGAAAGAAACUACAUCAGUAAGAAGGAGGAGCACAGAGCUCUGGAGAUGCAAAACUACAUGGGCUUAUCCAGGAACACUGGCACUUUUGAUGCUAACAGACUAGUGGAAGGAGACAUCUUUAGGAUAGGCAUGCAUCUUGAGGACAUUAAGGAGAUCAUAGACAAAAACGUGUGUGAUCAGAUUUCUCCUCCUCACUCAACAUCCACUCCCACGUCCACGACUGUACCCACUCCUGUCUGCAUGUUCACACCUUCACCUCCACCUUCCCUGCAUGAGGGGCAAAGUUAUAAGAUGGACACAGAGGAAGAAGAAGAGGAAGAAGAAGCAGAGGAGGGCAGUGACCUUCAGAUAAAUGGUGGAUCAGACCAAAGUAGUGAGCUCGUAACUGCUGACCCUCUAGUGAAAAACUCUGGACAUGGCAGCUGCCAGUCACGGGACUCAACGGGCUCCUUGGUUGGACUUGAUGUCUGUAAAGAUGAGGAUGAGGAGAGGAGCUCUGGUUUGUCAGAGGUGGCAGAUCACAGUGACAUCUUAGCUUACCUGUGUGGAAACAAGACCACCUCACACGAGCAGUGGACAGUCAGCAGCCACAGCAUCAAGGAUAGAGUCUCCAGACAAAAGGAUGAAUGUGAUCUGGGUGACUGUGUUAGUCUGGCAGUGGAGGUCUCCUGUUCCUCUGAUGCACCAAGAGGCUCAGAGAGCCACAGCUUCUCAGAGCCGGAUCUCAACACCUCAUGUGCCUCGCAGAAGAUGGUGAGUUCAGAGACAGACAGCGGAUUUGGGAGCUCUUACUUGAAUCAUUCGGGCUCGGGAUCAUUUCAAUCAAAUCUGCUUCCAGAAAGUGUGUUGUCCCAGAAAGAAGGUUUAAGUAGCUCAGACAGUGAAGACUCGUGCUCCCACCUGCAAACAGCCAUCCACCCUGCCAUCACUGGCUACCAGUGGGCCAGCCCCCACCCAUCUGUCCUAACACAACACUGUGGAGCAACAGCUGGAGUGGAUCUGUGGGUGGACAGUACAACUAAGAACCCUUCAGCAAUGCUGCAAGGAUCUGACCAAAGCCUGUCUGCUCAGCACCAUCAGCUCGUAUCUCAACCUCUACUUGGCACCUCCAUGGAUACUGAUGGCAGAGGCAGCCCUCUGCGCUCCUGCUCUUGUAAUAGUGAGGCUAUCCUGGCCUUGCAAUCGGAGGUGUCUAGGCUAAAGAAGGACCUGGAGGUGGGCUUAGUGCAAUUACCUCACUUAGCUCAGAAGAUGGACUAUCUCACCUCAAAAUACAGACAAGAGCGCCAGGAGCGCCGGUCCAGAACCAGGACUUACCAAAGUCCAGCCUGUAACAGAGUGGGGAAUAUCAGCAGCAGAGAUGUGAGUAACUUCAGUUUCAGUCAGGCAAGGCUGGAGGACUGGAUCUCAUCAGACAUGGACCCCAGCCAGAGCAAAGGCACAGACAGCAGUGAAACAAGCUCUGAGAUAAUGUUAAAGUUACACAGUUCACCAGCAGGGAGCAGAAAAGGUGGCAGAGGCGUAUCCUCGGGACCUGAGUUUCAGUUUAAACACCAGGCGGUCCAGCCCAAAGGAGUUUCUCCUGCUGCGUGGACAGAGGGAGGCCGCUCACUGGAAACUUCUGGGUUGAGAAGCUGCAGUUUAAAAGGAAAGAACGACAUGAUGUCUGACUUCAGACCACAGAUUGUCACAAAUAGUUUACACUCCAAGGACAGAUGGUCUCUUCUCUCCAGCUCGUUUCUCCAGAAGCCGCUGUUGCAGGUCAGCUACGGCUCCUCCUGCAGUCUGCCGGCCAGCUAUAAAUUCAGGGAGCCACCGCUGCAGUCCAUGUCCCAUCACAGAAAACCUUCCACUCAGUCAGACACAGCACUCCUGCCCAGCAAUGUGUACUUUCAGCGGACACCGUCUCCAUCAUCCGUGCCCUUCAAGACUGGCAGCAGGACAAGCAGACGUAGCAGGAGCAAGGAAGAAGACGUGAACAGGACUCUGGACCAGGCGAUUGAGAUGGCUCGCAGCAUGAAGAGGACCACUGACCGCAUGGCCAGGAGGCUGUCUGUAGAUCUGGCUAAGGCUCAGCUACACAGGAAACUGCACCACAUGCAGUCACAAGGUGGAAGGAAACAUCUGGAACCUGGCUAUGGAUGAGUUUAUACUCUCAUCUCUUUGCCUGAUACCUUUCUGAAAUAUAUUUUAAAUAAAGUAUAUCUGAUUCACAGAUGUGAUCUGUGAUACGUUUGUUUUUGUUUUCUUUUGGUUUAAACAGUAUCGUCUAUAGUAGUAACAUGUAUAGUACGUUUAUAAAGUUACUGAUAUUUUUAUGAAUGGGCAACAUUUUUUAAAUAUGAAAUGUCUUCAUGUUUUGAUUUGAUCUCAAGGCCUCUGAAGAACAUUUUUAUCCAUCCAUCUUAACUGUAUUCUUACCAAAAUGUAUUCAAAAGAAAUGCUGUGAGGCACAAUGUGAUCUCAUAGUGACGACAACAGUAGACAUAGAGUACAUUGCGACAAGUUGAAGCAAUAAAUGUAAACUUAUUUUCACAAUGCUCCAUGUCACUGAACACCCUGGUAAUCUUUUUUUAAUGUCAGGUGAAAUAUAAGAAGUGAAGCUACAGUGAAUGUAUGAUUUACAGAUGGAAAAUAUAGGAAGUAAACACAUAAAAAAUAUAAAGUGACAUAAAAUUCAGCUUGAUCCUUUUUAAUUGGGUGCCGCAAGUGAAAAUACAUCCUUAACCAUCCUUAGACAUCAGAUGACUCUCUCUGAUAUUUCACCUCUUUACUUUGCCUGCUUCAGUUGUGUGUUUGUGAUCAUUUUCCUGCAGAAUCAUGCAGUGAGUUUCAUGCGUUUGGCAUUUGUAGUUUUUUCCUGUUUGUACCUACUUUGUUUUUUUUCUUUUAACUGUGAUGUCAGUGCACAGAUUUGGA